Long non-coding RNA from Galeopterus variegatus (Sunda flying lemur), 597 nucleotides. RefSeq lists it as uncharacterized. The record is from RefSeq and is a predicted model, not a curated record. Lineage: Eukaryota; Metazoa; Chordata; Mammalia; Dermoptera; Cynocephalidae. The transcript has 2 exons.
GCACAGUCUGUCGCCUGGACCUGCUUGGGCUCGGCGGUCGGGGCCGCGCGCUCCCGACCUGGGGACCCCGGAAAAGCCGCCUGGGUUCCAGCUGCCACCGUGGAAGCAGACUCUGCCUCCUGCGCAUUCUGGCUGGUACGCAGGAGGCCACCCAUUCGGUUGUCGUUGCUGAAGUCGUCAUUCUUGCGGGGAUUCCAGGGCUGAGUUAGCUGUCAUGCUUGCUGAGGUUCCACAGCACCGUCAUCUGCCCGCUCUUUAUAGCCUUCUGCCUCGUUCCUGUUGACAACAGUACGUCUUCAAGCGAUUCCUUCAAGACCGGCACAAAGGCGAGGUUGCUUAAGCCCUUGACCUUGCACAAGCUGCCAGGAGAACGACUCCAGGGCACGGUGGGUACUAAGACCGGCUUCGGUAUCAGACACACACCUUCACCUCCCCCCACCCCUCUGUUCCUGCCGAGGGUUCUGCUGGGAGUUGUAGUUUUUUACUGAAUAUGGAAAGAACUGAUUUUCCCAUCUGGAUGGUUGCAACCCGCUGCGUGUCUCAAAAAAAGCAAGCAAACGCCUUAUGAAAUAAACGGGACUCGAUUUCCCAAUUGGU